UGGGGAAUAUUGGACAAUGGGCGAAAGCCUGAUCCAGCCAUGCCGCGUGUGUGAAGAAGGUCUUCGGAUUGUAAAGCACUUUAAGUUGGGAGGAAGGGCAGUAAGCGAAUACCUUGCUGUUUUGACGUUACCGACAGAAUAAGCACCGGCUAACUCUGUGCCAGCAGCCGCGGUAAUACAGAGGGUGCAAGCGUUAAUCGGAAUUACUGGGCGUAAAGCGCGCGUAGGUGGUUCGUUAAGUUGAAUGUGAAAGCCCCGGGCUCAACCUGGGAACUGCAUCCAAAACUGGCGAGCUAGAGUAGGGCAGAGGGUGGUGGUAUUUCCUGUGUAGCGGUGAAAUGCGUAGAUAUAGGAAGGAACACCAGUGGCGAAGGCGACCACCUGGGCUCAUACUGACACUGAGGUGCGAAAGCGUGGGGAGCAAACAGG
This 429-nucleotide ribosomal RNA is filed under the name Pseudomonadota bacterium. RNAcentral describes it as "Proteobacteria bacterium partial 16S ribosomal RNA". It matches the Rfam family "Bacterial small subunit ribosomal RNA", at positions 355 to 776 of the family's 1533-position model. The record is from RNAcentral. Lineage: Bacteria; Pseudomonadati; Pseudomonadota.